GAAAAAAAAAAAAAAAAAGAACAAGACAAAGACAAGAAGAAAGACAAAAUCGUUCGAGAAUAAGGCUUUAUCUUUUGCCCACUUCGCCCUCUCCCCCAAUUUUUUUUCUCUUCGCUCAUGGCGGACCCUCAAAGUUCUGACAUUUUGAUGGAAGAAGACAAGCAGCCAGAAGAAGGGUUCGAAGAAAACCCGUUGAAAGAAGAAAGGAA
Molecule: non-coding RNA, 209 nt
Filed under: Paramoeba aestuarina
Lineage: Eukaryota; Discosea; Flabellinia; Dactylopodida; Paramoebidae
Source: RNAcentral